This 253-nucleotide ribosomal RNA is filed under the name uncultured bacterium. RNAcentral describes it as "partial 16S ribosomal RNA". It matches the Rfam family "Bacterial small subunit ribosomal RNA", at positions 524 to 776 of the family's 1533-position model. The record is from RNAcentral.
UACGUAGGGUGCGAGCGUUGUCCGGAAUUACUGGGCGUAAAGAGCUCGUAGGUGGUUUGUCGCGUUGUUCGUGAAAACUCACAGCUUAACUGUGGGCGUGCGGGCGAUACGGGCAGACUGGAGUACUGCAGGGGAGACUGGAAUUCCUGGUGUAGCGGUGGAAUGCGCAGAUAUCAGGAGGAACACCGGUGGCGAAGGCGGGUCUCUGGGCAUUUCCUGACGCUGAGGCGCGAAAGCGUGGGGAGCAAACGGG